GGUCUCACUGUGUACUUCAGACUGACCUGGAACUCACUAUGUAGCCCAGGCUGGUCUCGAACUCACAGCGAUCCUCCUGCCUCAGCCUCCCGAGUGCUGGGAUUAAUAGGCGUGCGCCACCACGCCUG
RNAcentral lists this microRNA precursor (128 nucleotides) under Fukomys damarensis (Damara mole-rat). RNAcentral describes it as "miRNA (ENSFDAG00000003850.1)". Lineage: Eukaryota; Metazoa; Chordata; Mammalia; Rodentia; Bathyergidae. The record is from RNAcentral.